AACGAACGCUGGAGGCAGGCCUCAAACAUGCAAGUCUAGGGGGUGUAGCAAUACAUCACCGGCGGACGGGUGCGUAACGCGUGGGAAUAUACCUAUCGAUUCGGAACAACUGAGGGAAACUUCAGCUAAUACCGAAUACGUCCUAACGGAGAAAGAUUUAUCGUCGAUAGAUUAGCCCGCGUUCGAUUAGCUAGUUGGUGGGGUAACGGCCCACCAAGGCGACGAUCGAUAGCUGUUCUGAGAGGAAGAUCAGCCACACUGGGACUGAGACACGGCCCAGACUCCUACGGGAGGCAGCAGUUGGGAAUCUUGGACAAUGGGGGAAACCCUGAUCCAGCCAUGCCGCGUGAGUGAUGAAGGCCUUCGGUUGUAAGCCUUCGGUCGGGACGAUGAUGACGGUACCCGCAGAAGAAGCCCCGGCUAACUUCGUGCCAGCAGCCGCGGUAAU
This 448-nucleotide ribosomal RNA is filed under the name uncultured bacterium. Its description in RNAcentral is "bacterial SSU rRNA". It matches the Rfam family "Bacterial small subunit ribosomal RNA", at positions 29 to 524 of the family's 1533-position model. The record is from RNAcentral.